Long non-coding RNA from Camelus dromedarius (Arabian camel), 238 nucleotides. RefSeq lists it as uncharacterized. NCBI's taxonomy places the organism in Eukaryota, Metazoa, Chordata, Mammalia, Artiodactyla, Camelidae. The record is from RefSeq and is a predicted model, not a curated record. The transcript has 3 exons.
UGCAGAUGGGACAUUUCAUACUCAGGAAUUGGGGCUUCUGAGCUGGCUUCUGUUGAUGACAGUGUGUGGACAAGCAUCAGCUUUCUGCAACUGGUGUCCCCCCUUGAGUGACGAUGUGAUACCUGCAGUGACUUCUAAUAGCAGUACUUCUACUGAGGUUUGCUGGAGAAACUGAUGAAGGAAUAAUAAGAGAUUGUCCCAUCAGCGAGUCUACGCCCAGGUAAGGGACCAGCGAUUU